AAUACCGCAUACGGUUCUUGGAAGGCAUCUUCUAAGAAAGAAAGGAUUUAUUCGGUAAAAGAUGGGCCCGCAUCUGAUUAGCUAGUUGGUGAGAUAAUAGCCCACCAAGGCAACGAUCAGUAGCCGACCUGAGAGGGUGACCGGCCACAUUGGGACUGAGACACGGCCCAAACUCCUACGGGAGGCAGCAGUGGGGAAUAUUGCACAAUGGGCGAAAGCCUGAUGCAGCAACGCCGCGUGAAGGAAGACGGUUUUCGGAUUGUAAACUUCUAUCAAUAGGGAAGAAAGAAAUGACGGUACCUAAAUAAGAAGCCCCGGCUAACUACGUGCCAGCAGCCGCGGUAAUACGUAGGGGGCAAGCGUUAUCCGGAAUUACUGGGUGUAAAGGGAGAGUAGGCGGCAAGGUAAGCGAUAUGUGAAAGCCUUAAGCUUAACUAAAGGAUUGCAUAACGAACUAUCUAGCUAGAGUACAGGAGAGGAAAGCGGAAUUCCUAGUGUAGCGGUGAAAUGCGUAGAUAUUAGGAAGAACACCAGUGGCGAAGGCGGCUUUCUGGACUGAAACUGACGCUGAGGCUCGAAAGCGUGGGGAGAGAACAGGAUUAGAUACCCUGGUAGUCCACGCUGUAAACGAUGAGUGCUAGGUGUCGGGGAGGAAUUCCCGGUGCCGGAGC
RNAcentral lists this ribosomal RNA (671 nucleotides) under uncultured bacterium. Its description in RNAcentral is "bacterial SSU rRNA". It matches the Rfam family "Bacterial small subunit ribosomal RNA", at positions 165 to 852 of the family's 1533-position model. The record is from RNAcentral.